UUUUAUAGAAUCCAAACAGUUAGAUAUGAAAGCAUUGAACAAACACAGGAAAUGUUAAAUGAGGAAGAAGAGAAUUUCUUUGCAAGAGGAAGAAGUGGAUUCACCUCAGCCAUCAUUACCUCCAUCUCCAUCUCCACCAUCACAAAACAUUAAGACUGGUGGCUACCAUACAAGAGCACUAAGCGAGAAUACGUGUAUUCUAAUGAUUUGGAAAAACGUGUUAAUUUGAAGCCACCUAGAAGUGUAAAAACUAUUGAAUAUCAAGAAAUAAUUCUCCCAUCAGAAUUUUAGCUACCUACUGUGACCAUGGAGAGAGUUUCCUAAACUGAAUUGUGCAUUGCAUCUUUCAAGGAAACUGAUCAAAAAGCGCUAAACUCACAAGGGUCAUACAACACUUAAGUAAUAGCAAAAGAAAUAGUUACAUUGCGACAUUAGAUUGAACUAAAUAUGUACAUUAAAAUGCUUGCUUCAUCGUACUGUGAUUACCUCCUUUAAAAUUUCUUUUGCUGUGAUAUAAAAUGUAUUUGCUUUUAUAAAGUAAUAAAAUGUGGAGUUA
Non-coding RNA from Cherax quadricarinatus, 556 nucleotides. The record is from RefSeq and is a predicted model, not a curated record. NCBI's taxonomy places the organism in Eukaryota, Metazoa, Arthropoda, Malacostraca, Decapoda, Parastacidae.